Molecule: long non-coding RNA, 4557 nt
Organism: Coturnix japonica (Japanese quail)
Lineage: Eukaryota; Metazoa; Chordata; Aves; Galliformes; Phasianidae
Source: RefSeq, a predicted model, not a curated record
CCCCCAGUGCCGCUCAUGGGCACAGCUGUGAAAUCCAAGCUUUUCUGAAGAACCCACUCCUGCCCGUGCUUUCUGCCAUUCCAUGCCAAAGGAAUGCCAAUGAAGCCCAUUUACAAUUGUUUUGCUUGACAUAUGGGUCCCAGAUACGGACAAAUUGCCAAAAGAAGUCCCUUUCUGUUGGGUGUGGGUCUACGCUGUUGAGCUUGGCUCUACAGGAGGGAAAGGACAAAAGGACAGCCAAAGAGAGGAGAAAAGCUGGGCUGGGAGGGAGAGGCAGAGGAAGAUUUUGCGUGCGCCCGGGAAGGAAACAAUGGGACAAGGGGAAGGAAUUAAAAGAACCACAUCCUUCUCUGCAUCACACCCCUGCAGUUACUCAUGCUGGACCAACCCGUAGUGCCUAACAUCGCUCCCCUGUGAGUGCUGUGGUGAGCUCUGUCCUGUCUGAUGUGCCCAGGCACCACGAGGGCAGCAGCACUCAUGGCACAGCAGAUCAAGCCUCUCUCCUGCACAAUGACAUUCUGACGUGUCCCUAUUCUCAUUAGCCUAUCCCAAGUGUGUGCGCCUAAUCCAGCCCCACAAUCUGGAACAUAGGCCAAAGCAUGUUCCUCCCUCCCCUCCACCUCUGACCCCGUGGCCAAGCCAGCCCUGACCCCACAGACGAGCUCCCCAAGGCUCUGGGCAGACCUUCCAGCUGGGAUGUUCUCACCCACUGCACUGCCCUGCAGCUCCUCUUAGGGAAGAGGUACACAAGGAAGAGACAAAGACAAGGUGGUCUUUUCUUGUACCCUCUUAUUGCCCUCUCCUCUCAGGCCUGCCUGCUCUUUAAAGCUCCUUUGGACCUGCUCUAACAGCUGUGUGUCUCCUGAAGCACAUCACUCAGCACAGAUCUCCUGCACACUGAGCCAUUGGCUGCAGCUCCCUGGACGCAGCCAUCCACUCAAUUCCUUUUCUGCAAAACAGUCCAUUCAAACCCAUGUCUCCAAUACAGAGACAAGGACAUUAUGUGGGCCAUGUCUAAAGCCCUACAGAAGUUCAGGAAGGUGACAUGAACUGCUGCUCCCCUUUUUGGAGGUAGAACUAUGCAUGCUUCCAACUCCAGCUAUUCUAUGAUUCUAUUCCCAAUUUUCCUGCCUCCAGAGGCUGCAGAGUCUUAUUCCUCCCUCACAGCACCCACAAAAAGCACUGGAUUGACAUUUUAGGAUAAGCUUAAGUCAAGCUGAAGCCACCAUCCUCUCAGCUCUCAAAGUCCUACAGCUCUGAGGUCACACCUUAAUAAAUAGCACUGCUACUUCGAGAGCUGAAAACAGGACCAGUACGAGGGGACAGGUUACACACUUGGAAGCAUGCAGAGUCCUUCAGGAUUUAUUUGUUCACUCCAGAGAGAAAGUGAGUCAUGAGAAACCUUAAGGUGGAGCGCUCAAAACAAGGAGUGUAUAAAUGAUUAGGAAGGGAAGGUCAGCACCAGUCCCUCAAGUCAGAGCAUGUCCCACUGUCGAUGGUGCAUAAAUAACACCAGCUGGAUGCUUGUGGCUGUAGGAGAACGACUAUUGCAAUUCUAGUCCCUUACAUGACUCUGGCUGUUAUCAUCAGUGUAGCUGAUCUCAGUUUUUUUAUAGAAAUAAAGUGGCUGAUAAAUGGAACUCAACAGAUCUGCUUUCAAGUCAGAACUGCAUGCUUGACAAAAGCUAAGAUUAAAAAAUAAAAUAAAAUAAAAUAAAAUAAAAUAAAAUAAAAUACAAGCUUUUACUGCACGGAGAUUCAAACACAGCAAUGGGAGAUGGACCUGAGUUCCACUUGUUCUCGUGCAGCAACACAAUUAAUCACCUUGUCAGAUAAAAUCCGAUUGCAAAACCUGUAUUAGCACACCAAUGCAAAUGAAUGAGAAAACAUUCUCUGUUUUCUUCAGACCACAGGUUGAAUUCAGAGCGUUUGCAGAGAAGAAAAUGAUCAGUCAGCUUCUCUCCAGUGCACAGCAAAUGCUGAUAUGGGCACGCUGGAAUGAAGGAAUGACAUGCAGUCUGUCUCUGUCUUUUCUUCUUUGGGAGCUAUUACAGAGGGCUGCCCUUCUCAAAGCGUUUGCCAGUGAAAUUAAGACUGCAUCCAUCCCGUGUAACAAAAGAAUGAAACGACACAGUAAAAGCUACAAACUCAUCAGAGGUUUGGCAGUCACUUCAGAUCACAGAAAAAAUGUCUUGAUUCACAUACACUUAAAUGAAUAAAUAACCAAAUUAACUACUUAAGCAGUGCUAUCAUUCUUUGUCAGUGUGAUCCUCAGGCUUAUGCAAAGUGUGUGAAUGCUCUCUAUGCAGCGCAGACAAGCAUUUCAGAGGGAAGAUGCAUUACUCAGGUUUCUUUGCAAUGAACUGUACCGAAAAAGGAUGUUAAGCCUGUAAGCUCAGAAUUGCUUUGUCUUCAUCAUGCAAGCACAUUGCUGAGACAUGGCUGGCUGGCACAAGCUUAUUCUGAGAAAGUCAUAACAAAAAAACAUGUAUUUAUUCCUUUUAAAAGAAAUGAGGAAUAACCCUGAAAGCUGACCCAGCUCUUUCCUUCUUUCCCCUUUGUUAUUUUCCAGUAUCUCUGGGCCUGAGUCAAAACCACAGCUGUCCAUCUAGCUUUCCCACCGACUUCUGUGGGGCUGGGAUGGGGCCUGCAUGUUAUCUGGCCUCAGUGCUGUCCAGAGUUUGUCAUUUAUAUCAUAGGCUCCCAAAAAGACAGAGCAGCAGACCCCAGACAAUGUGAGGUAAGAAUAAGAUUAAGGCUGCCUGGCACAGGUAAUUGUUUUAACACAAGUGGUGGUGAGACAUGGCUUUAAAAUUCAAAGGAGUGAUGCCUUAGCAUGAUAUCCUGUGUUUGAAGAGCACCAAGCACAAUAGAUAUGGAGGCUUUGGCCAGGGAGAUUUAAUAAUAAUAUGAAGAGGAAACAGAAUUGUGACUGAAUUUGAUGUCUGACCACAGUCCCCUCAACUUUGCUAAUAUACAUUACUGCUCUGUUUGUUUGUUUUUUUCUGAGAAAAUAGGGACAUACUUGGGAGGAAUGUCCCUCCUUUCUACUUGGACAUGCAGUCAUUUGAGGUGUUAUCUAUCAGGGGUUUAGGAACAAAUUAUGUGUCAUCCAGGAUGGCACAGAGAGCAUCACCGUCAUUCCUGAGCUUGCUAGUAGAGCCUCAGCAAACUAAUGCUAUGCAUCUAUGUCCUGGACCAGGACACAUCAUUGGUCUUUGCAGACCAACAGCCUCCUGUUCUCCUGUCCCCUGUGUUCCCUUCUAACCUGUAAAAAGUAUGUGAAGUGCAAGAGAGAAAAAGUCAACAUUUGUUCAGUACGACCUUGUACACAGGAUGGAAGAGCACACAGCACCCAGAGUACAUCAAAACACAGCUCUCCUUACAUAGAGUGGGUUUUGACUAAAGAAUAAAACCAGGAAGGAAAUGGUUAAAAUCAGAGGGAAAAGGCACAGUUUAAUAACCACAAUAAACAGCUACUGACCCUGCAGUAAUGCAGUGGUUUCCAUAAACCCAAGCACUUUGCAGAGGUUGUGGGCCCCAUCCACAGCUAUCUUCUUGAGCACGCAAGCACAAGGGGCGUUCACCUAUGAGGAAAACAUUUUAUCCUUUAUUCACACUAGGAAGAAAAUUUCUUCUGCUGGCAAUAGACCCCACCAAACACCUGAAGCCUCACCUCAACCACAGCAUGCAGGCCUGCAGUCAUGGAGGAGAACAGAAUGCUCCCACAGCUGGGCAUCCCACUCCUCCACGUAUUAUGGGGAUCACCCUCCCACUUUGCAGAAUUCUCCGCUGUUCCUGAGGGGCUGAAUUUCCAAAAAUUAACAUUUUUCAGGCUGGUCCAUUAUUAUGGGUGAUAAUUUUCAUCAUCAUUUUUAAAGGGAUGGUUCAGUAGCCCCGUUAAGAAACUGAAUGCCCGUUGUUUUUGCUGUUUGGAUGAGACAGGCUGUAACCAUGGGCUUUAAAAAUAAAUAACUUGUUAAUACCAUGCUGGCUUUAAAUAGAGGUUCUGGCCCAUGCACCUUCCCUUCGGGAGUUUGAUUUCUCAGAUCUGAGCUCCAUCAUUAGGCAGCACUGCAAAGUGUGCCAUGUUUUAUCUUCACACAAACCCUUGCACGAUUUUUCUGGAGAGCAGGCAAAGGUGUAACAAAACUUGAGCUGUACAGACUGAGGUUCUGAGAAACAAAGCCACCAAAAGUGUGGCUCCAUGUGGGAAACACUGUUGUCUCAGUUGGAUGUGAGCAUCACCACAGGUAGGAUGAUGAACCUGAGGGCUCAGCUCCCUCUUGGGACAGCAGAAUAAACACAUUGCAUGAGUUUUCAUUUCAAAGAGCAAUAAACCUUUUUCCAGUCAACCCCAGCGCACACCUAACAACUUAUCCUGCAAACUGAUAAUUAAUCUGCUAUGUUAUCGUCAUAACCUUCCUGUUUUGGCUGUUUUCUCUUCUGUUUUGUAAACUCAGAUCUGCUAAAUAAUGCAAUUGGAUUUCUCCUCUCCAAUCGCUGUCAUUCUGUCCUACAACACUCAAUGCCACUUAAUAAAGUGACAAGAAACAA